Molecule: transfer RNA, 82 nt
Filed under: Anaerolinea sp.
Lineage: Bacteria; Bacillati; Chloroflexota; Anaerolineae; Anaerolineales; Anaerolineaceae
Also listed under: 2 other names
Description: tRNA-Leu
Rfam family: tRNA
About the family: Transfer RNA (tRNA) molecules are approximately 80 nucleotides in length.
Source: RNAcentral
GGGGAAGUGCUGGAACUGGCAGACAGGCAUGACUUAGGAUCAUGUGCCGCGAGGCGUGCGGGUUCAAGUCCCGCCUUCCCCA